RNAcentral lists this ribosomal RNA (699 nucleotides) under uncultured marine archaeon. Its description in RNAcentral is "bacterial SSU rRNA". It matches the Rfam family "Archaeal small subunit ribosomal RNA", at positions 102 to 802 of the family's 1478-position model. The record is from RNAcentral.
AGUCAACCUACCCUAUGGACGGGAAUAAUCUCGGGAAACUGAGGAUAAUGCCCGAUAGAACACUAUGCCUGGAACGGUUUGUGUUCCAAAUGAUUUAUCGCCGUAGGAUGGGACUGCGGCCUAUCAGUUUGUUGGUGAGGUAAUGGCCCACCAAGACUAUUACAGGUACGGGCUCUGAGAGGAGUAGCCCGGAGAUGGGUACUGAGACACGGACCCAGGCCCUAUGGGGCGCAGCAGGCGAGAAAACUUUGCAAUGUGCGAAAGCACGACAAGGUUAAUCCGAGUGGUUCCUGCUAAAGGAACCUUUUGACGGUCCUAAAAACACCGUUGAAUAAGGGGUGGGCAAGUUCUGGUGUCAGCCGCCGCGGUAAAACCAGCACCUCAAGUGGUCAGGAUGAUUAUUGGGCCUAAAGCAUCCGUAGCCGGCUCUGUUAGUUUUCGGUUAAAUCUGUACGCUCAACGUACAAGCUGCCGGGAAUACUGCAGAGCUAGGGAGUGGGAGAGGUAGACGGUACUUGGUAGGAAGGGGUAAAAUCCUUUGAUCUAUUGAUGACCACCUGUGGCGAAGGCGGUCUACCAGAACACGUCCGACGGUGAGGGAUGAAAGCUGGGGGAGCAAACCGGAUUAGAUACCCGGGUAGUCCCAGCUGUAAACCAUGCAAACUCAAUGAUGCACUGGCUUGAAGCCAGUGCAGUGUU